GAUGAACGCUGGCGGCGUGCCUAAUACAUGCAAGUCGAGCGAACAGACGAGGAGCUUGUACCUUUGGCGGUGGCGACGGACGGGCGAGUAACACGUGGAUAACCUACCUACAAGACUGGGAUAACUAAGGGAAACCGGAGAUAAUACCGGAUAAUAUAUCGAAACGUAUGGCUUAAUAGUGAAAGACGGUUUUGCUGCCACUAAUAGAUGGAUUCGCGCCGCAUUAGCUAGUUGGUAAGGUAACGGCUUACCAAGGCGACGAUGCGUAGCCGAACUGAGUGGGUGAUCAGCCACACUGAAACUAGGACGAGGUCCAGCCUCCUGCAUGAGACACAGCUAGGGAAUCUUCCGGAAUGAGCGAAAGCUUAUCGGAGGAACGCCGCGUGACUGUAGAAGAUUUUCGGAUCGUAAAACUCUGUUAUUAGGGAAGUACAAAUUUGUAAGUAUCGGUGCGCGUCUUGACGGUACCUAAUCAGGAAGCUACGGCUAACUACGUG
RNAcentral lists this ribosomal RNA (497 nucleotides) under uncultured bacterium. RNAcentral describes it as "partial 16S ribosomal RNA". It matches the Rfam family "Bacterial small subunit ribosomal RNA", at positions 28 to 507 of the family's 1533-position model. The record is from RNAcentral.